This 851-nucleotide long non-coding RNA is filed under the name Vigna radiata. RNAcentral describes it as "long non-coding RNA (VRAD_LNC013261)". The record is from RNAcentral. Lineage: Eukaryota; Viridiplantae; Streptophyta; Magnoliopsida; Fabales; Fabaceae.
UGGAGAGACUUCAAAUGAGUGCAAAAUGCUCUGUGAAUGUUGAUGAAUGAACCCCAAUUGUUGUGCUCUCACAAAAACCCCAAACUUUGAUGAUGAAGUGGUGCAAAAAUGGUGGAGAAAUGGUUUUUGAGAUGACGGGUGAAGGGAAAAAUGAAGAAAGUGUUGUUGACAGAUUGGCAAGCGUACCAAAUCGUUCAAGUAAUAUACUUGGAGUAACCCAAUAUCGUUCUUCCCAAGAGACUCGAAAGGCUUUCUCGUUCAUGUGAAUUAAAAUAAUAAGACUUGAAAAUAAAAAUAAUUAAUUUGAUUUAAGAACAAAAAAUAUUAACAUGCAAAAGAGAUUGAUUCAAAUGACAAGAAGAAAACAAUGGAUGAAUGGAGUUGUUGGGGGUUUACAAUUUCAUCAUUAUCCGCUCUCGCUUAUCUACUCCUCUUGAAUUAUUAGUUUGACUAAUUAAUUGUCAUGCAACUUUCUUAGCCUACCCUUAACCCAAUCCCUCGGCGAAAAGAGCCUAAUAUUAACUACUUGCUUGCUAUCCCUAGCCUCCCUUAGCAAUUAAUACAACAUUAUAGAGCAGAAGUUAAACGCAAUUGAUCGUCCUACCCCUAUCCCUAGGUGGUAUUGCAAAAUCAAGGAAUUACUCACCAAUUCAUGACAUUACUGUACGUCCUCGUAUCAAUAAAGACAAACAACAGUUAUCAAAUGAGUUAAACCAUAAAGGCCUUAAGCACAGAUGAGAACCUAACAAUUAACAAACAAACAUAUGGAAACCAUAUAAAUAAUCAAGAGUUUCAAUAAAAGAGAGUAUCAAAAGAUUACAUUGUUUCCCCCAACAACAAUAGGGUUUAGU